RNAcentral lists this long non-coding RNA (391 nucleotides) under Pongo abelii (Sumatran orangutan). RNAcentral's name for it is "lincRNA". The record is from RNAcentral. Lineage: Eukaryota; Metazoa; Chordata; Mammalia; Primates; Hominidae.
AAAUAGAGUUACAUAGAGCAUAAGCAACAUCAUUUCUUAGCCGUAAAGGUGUCCUUCUGGAGAGAUAGAGCAUGCCAUUAUUCUGGCUUGAGAUUAACAGGUUAGCCCGGAUGCGGUGGCUCACGCCUGUAAUCCCAGCACUUUGAGAGGCUGAAGCAGGUGGAUUACCUGAGUUCAGGAGUUCGAGACCAGCCUGGCCAACAUGGAGAAACCCCGUCUCUACUAAAAAUACAAAAUUAGCUGGGUGUGGUGGCACAUGCCUGUAAUCCCAGCUACUCGGGAGGCUGAGAGAUGAGAAUCGCUUGAACCUGGGAGGCAGAGGUUGCAGUGAGCCGAGAUCCUGCCCUGCACUCCAGCCUGGGCAACAAGAGCGAAACUCCAUCUCAAAAAA